Long non-coding RNA from Haemorhous mexicanus (house finch), 3751 nucleotides. RefSeq lists it as uncharacterized. The record is from RefSeq and is a predicted model, not a curated record. The transcript has 4 exons. Lineage: Eukaryota; Metazoa; Chordata; Aves; Passeriformes; Fringillidae.
AGCUGGUUUGUGGCAAUGGAAUAGUAAUGACAGCAGGAUGGUAAUUUCAUCUUGAGUUUUACAAGCAAGAGGAGGUGCCAAGAAGGAAACCAGGUGCUGCUGUACAAGGAGAGUGCCUGUCCAUACCCCAAUAAUUGACUCCUGCUCCUGAAGACGUUCAUCCAGCAGAAACUGAGUGCUUUGGUGAGCCCAGCAAAGCUGCAGCGGUGCCUCUCUCCAGAGCCUUGUCCUGCUGGGUAUCUGGCCAUGCUCAGAUGGCUCUGAACAUUAACAGGAAGCCCUGCAGUCCCAGGCUCUGGUAGGAGUUUGCAGUAAUCACCAGCCAAGGCACACAGUACUGACCUGGAAAAGGUUGGCUGCUGCCCAAUGCUCUCACACUGAAGUUUAAGCAGGCUGGGAACCAUCUCUGUGGAAUAAAAGAGGAGCCUCUCCUGCAGGAUGAACCAGGACAAAAUUGAAUAUUCUGAGUAUUCGCACAAUUUUAAGGCCAUGUUUUGGCCCCAUAAGAGACAAUCCAGCACUCAAACUUUCCUACAUCCAUGUCUGGCAAUCUGAACUGUCAGUUCUUCUCCCAGAUUACAAAAAGGAAGUUUCUGGAAUUUGCUCCUCACAUCUGAAUGCAAUGGGGACAACGAAGGUAUAUUAGGACACAACUGAUCUCCCAAAAGGGUGAAAGAAGAAAGAAUUCCUCUUGAGCCUCCUCACAAAGCUGCCAGGAAGGGAAGGAGACUGGAGAGCCUUUGAGGACAGUCUGGUUUUGCCUUUCUUAAGUGAGUUAGAAGUCUUUGGUCUACAGUGAGGACAGAAGAAAUGAUCAUAGGAAAAUGAAAACUGGAGGAGCCAGAAGCUGACAUUCAGAUUGAAUUGUAGUACAUCUGAUCAAGCAAGGGAUGUGUUUUGAAGGCAAAGCUCGAAGAUUGAGUUGUGUGACUCCACUAGUAUUGAAAAAGGGCCCUAAAGUGAGGCUGUGUAUUUACCUUGUAUUCUUGGGAUUGAAGGAGAGUAGGCUGGAACAGUUUUCCUUUUCUUUAUGAAGAAUGAACUCUGCUCUGUGCAUGCAGUGGGAGUUGGAGCGAACGAUCUGUGGGAGAGCCUUCCCACUCCCCCUGCCCCAGGAUGGGAUUUGGAGCACACAACACCCUUAUUGCUUCCCUCUCCUGUUUGGUAUUCUGCACUGGUUGUGCCAAGCUCACCCUCAUCCCCCCGUGGCCUGGGUAAGGACAGGGGAAGCUCAGGAUGGUUCCCUUGGUGCAAUGGGAACACCAUGGUCAGCAAAAACUGGGGAUUGAACUUGCCCUGGUCAGGCCUAAGGUAUUGCCAUGCUAUUUUCAUCUCACUCUUUUCUGUCUUCUAAGGCCCAAUAAAGGUCUUGAUAAUUCUUGCUCAGAGCUCAUGUCUGGCAGGGAUUUCACCUUUUUGAGUUUUUGGUUAGUUCUUUUUCCAGCUGCAGUGGGCAGAUAUGCCUGCAACAGCACCAAGGGGCUGAGGCUACGUGUACCAUGGCGUAUUAUCUCUUUGCUAAACCAGUAAAACAGUGAGAUGUCAUUAAAAAUUAUAUCCAUGUAUCAGAGGUUUUCAGCUUGGCUAUAGGGUCCUUUCAAAGCUGUGAGGUUGGAGAGAUUAAUUUUGCCCCUUCUGGGCAGAAAACAGCAUUCCCAUUUCCUUCCAUGUCAACUCUGUUAUGUAGAUUCCCUUGGGACUGAGAGGAAGGGACCUUGGGAAUUGCUGGUGUUCCUGCUUUUAUUUUGUGUGAGACUCCAGAUGAAAAUGUGUUGAAAACAGUGUAAAUCCUGAGCUCCCCAAGGCAGAGAGUUGUGAUAUACUCAAGCCUUGUGUCAGUCCACUGUGUAGCAGCAUGCCAGGCACUCUUCCAUUAGAUAUCACUUGGGUACCCAUUUCUCAGUUUCAUCCCACUCCUGGAGAAAUAACUGCUGUCAGGUUUCUUUUAUUUUAAUCAAUUAUUUUAUUCUGUUACUAUUGCAACUGCUACCUGUUCCACAAGGCUCCUCACAAGCUCUGCACGUUGCUGUCUGCAGUUUCAGUGAAUCAGAUCUCAGUGUUUCUGAUCAGGGUCCAGCUGGAACUACACAUCUUUUGUUCAUGUAUUUAAUAUACUCAAAAUGCACUAAAUGACAGUUUAUAAUAUCAUUAUCAACAGUUAAAGACAUUAUAACUUCAAGAAAUGAAAAGAAAGUGCAGCCAUAUGUGGAAAUGCUUUAUUUUGUGCACUUUUAACCCUCACAAUAGUUCAGCUGCAAAAAUGGGGAUAGCAAUGAGAAGCAGGGAGAAAAUCGUAUGUCUGCAAAAUCAUUUUUCAGCUUUCCGUCCACUGCUGUCAUGAAAGAGCACUGAGCUAUUUGGAUGGUAAAUAACAACCAAGAACUAAUUUAUUUUUCUUCAUAAAAUUAUUUCUAGAAUUGGAUUCAAAUGUGUUCCUUAUUACACGGUUUGAUAAUUCAGUGAUGCUUUCCCCCCAUAACAUACGAGCUGAUUUAAACCUUCACUCCAAACAGCCUCGGGCUUAUUAAGAACAGUGUGGACUGAGUAUGGAUUAGGUUUAAAAGUAAUAAAAAAGUAGACCUGUUGGUUAGGUGAAAAAUUCACUAUCAGAUUCCUGAGUGCAGCUUUCUUUUCAUGUGCAAACUGCAUUAAAUGAGGCAUUUAAUUCAACAAAUCCAUAGUUCUGAUCCACCAGAAAUAGAGACUGGGUUAGUUCAAUUUGUAACAAACGAUCUCCAUAUGAUCAAAGUCCUGAGAGCUGAUUCCAACAUACUGCUUAAAUUAGUCUAACACCGAAGUGUUUGGCUCUGGGACAAUAUUUGGAAUGUCUUACCAGAAGAAAAAUUCCUCUGCACACAUGGUUCCAAUAUCUGGGAAUGCCAACCUUGCUUUUUAAUGGGCUGACAGGGAGCCUCCGUGCUAACUUUCUGACUCCAAAAAGUUCUUGUGCUGUCACCCGCAAACCAGCUUGGAUAAUUUUUCCUUGGCUUCCUUAUUAAAGCCUGAAUGAAGGGAUUGUGUGGCUUUCUUAAUGUCACUUGGUCUGCUUGCCAUAAAUUCAAGCACUCAUGAUGAAAGCUCCACUUAUAUUUUGCUGGGAAAUGGAAUCAAGGAGAAUGCACCCUCGUUCACAAUAAAUAACUGAAGUUGAGUUAUUAAGUGUAUUUCAUAUACCAGUGCCUUAUUACAUCAGCAGUUUAGAUAAUGGCUUCUAAAAAAUACUCCUCUGCUGAAAUGUAUGACGAGUGAGUUGCACAGAGGAUCCCAAUGCAUGGAACCAAACCAGCAGGCCAGAGCAAUAACUUAGGACUGUAUUAACAAAUAUCAAAUAUUUACAUUUUUACAUGCUGCUGUCUGUUUUGAUUAAGCAACCAUAGCAAUAACAGCAGUCAGCAGCGAGGGCUGUAUUUGCUUGGUUCCUGCCAGGGAAUUCUCAGCUGGGAUUGUUUGUUUGCGUUGUGCAGUGAAGACUCGAGCUGUUUACACUGUAGCUCCAGUUUUAGAGAGUGCUAAUUAUGCUCUGCUGCUGAACCCCUCUCCUUCUCAGAGUCUGCUCUUCUGCAAAAAUACUUUACACUGGUCUCGAGGAAAGCAAUCUGACUCACGGCAGGCAACAAAGGGUGCCCCAGUGCCUUGUAACUUUUUCUUUUAAUGUGGUGAGCGUCGCUAAAUGGGAGUUCAUGCCUUUAACUCUGCUUGCUUUUCCUUUUCUUUAUUUUUACAAAAAAAUAAAAUUAAAUAAUGGAAAACA